This 71-nucleotide transfer RNA is filed under the name Marmota marmota marmota (Alpine marmot). It matches the Rfam family "tRNA". From Rfam's summary of the family: Transfer RNA (tRNA) molecules are approximately 80 nucleotides in length. Their secondary structure includes four short double-helical elements and three loops (D, anti-codon, and T loops). Further hydrogen bonds mediate the characteristic L-shaped molecular structure. tRNAs have two regions of fundamental functional importance: the anti-codon, which is responsible for specific mRNA codon recognition, and the 3' end, to which the tRNAs corresponding amino acid is attached (by aminoacyl-tRNA synthetases). tRNAs cope with the degeneracy of the genetic code in two manners: having more than one tRNA (with a specific anti-codon) for a particular amino acid; and 'wobble' base-pairing, i.e. permitting non-standard base-pairing at the 3rd anti-codon position. Lineage: Eukaryota; Metazoa; Chordata; Mammalia; Rodentia; Sciuridae. RNAcentral also lists the same sequence under 1 other name. The record is from Rfam by way of RNAcentral.
GGUGUUGUGGCUCAAUGGUAGAGCACUCGCCUACAAGUGUGAGGCUCUGGGUUUGAUCCUCAGCACCACAU